CCUACGGGAGGCAGCAGUGAGGAAUAUUGGUCAAUGGACGAGAGUCUGAACCAGCCAAGUCGCGUGAAGGACGACUGCCCUAUGGGUUGUAAACCUCUUUUAUAUGGGAAUAAUACGUUCUACGUGUGGGAUUUUGUCUGUACCAUAUGAAUAAGGAUCGGCUAACUCCGUGCCAGCAGCCGCGGUAAUACGGAGGAUCCGAGCGUUAUCCGGAUUUAUUGGGUUUAAAGGGUGCGUAGGUGGUUUGUUAAGUUAGUUGUGAAAGUUUGCGGCUCAACCGUGAAAUUGCAGUUAAUACUGGCAGUCUUGAGUACAGUAGAGGUAGGCGGAAUACGUGGUGUAGCGGUGAAAUGCUUAGAUAUCACGAAGAACUCCGAUUGCGAAGGCAGCUCACUAGACUGCAACUGACACUGAGGCUCGAGAGUGUGGGUAUCAAACAGGAUUAGAUACCCUUGUAGUC
RNAcentral lists this ribosomal RNA (460 nucleotides) under uncultured bacterium. RNAcentral's name for it is "partial 16S ribosomal RNA". It matches the Rfam family "Bacterial small subunit ribosomal RNA", at positions 338 to 795 of the family's 1533-position model. The record is from RNAcentral.